This 24-nucleotide non-coding RNA is filed under the name Arabidopsis thaliana (thale cress). The record is from RNAcentral. Lineage: Eukaryota; Viridiplantae; Streptophyta; Magnoliopsida; Brassicales; Brassicaceae.
GACACAGCAAACGAGGAAGAUGUC